GACGAACGCUGGCGGCGUGCUUAACACAUGCAAGUCGAACGGAAAGGCCCUGCUUGCAGGGUACUCGAGUGGCGAACGGGUGAGUAACACGUGGGUGAUCUGCCCUUCACUUCGGGAUAAGCCUGGGAAACUGGGUCUAAUACCGGAUAGGAGCCAUUUUUAGUGUGAUGGUUGGAAAGUUUUUUCGGUGUAGGAUGAGCUCGCGGCCUAUCAGCUUGUUGGUGGGGUAAUGGCCUACCAAGGCGGCGACGGGUAGCCGGCCUGAGAGGGUGGACGGCCACAUUGGGACUGAGGUACGGCACAGACUCCUACGGGAGGCAGAAGUGGGGAAUAUUGCACAAUGGGCGCAAGCCUGAUGCAGCGACGCCGCGUGGGGGAUGACGGCCUUCGGGUUGUAAAAUCCUUUCGCUAGGGACGAAGCUUUUUGUGACGGUACCUAGAUAAGAAGCACCGGCUAACUACGUG
RNAcentral lists this ribosomal RNA (465 nucleotides) under uncultured bacterium. Its description in RNAcentral is "partial 16S ribosomal RNA". It matches the Rfam family "Bacterial small subunit ribosomal RNA", at positions 28 to 507 of the family's 1533-position model. The record is from RNAcentral.